UCCUUCUUGGAUCAACAUUAUAAUUCACACAAGUACCCCUCGGUUUUGGAGAUGCACACCCUCUUCUUCUCGUUAGACAACCUCCACUUGAACUAGUAUAACCAUUCACACUAUAUUGACCUUGAUAAGAAGAACUACAAGGUGAAGAGUAUGAAUCUUCACACUCCUCACAUGCACUCUCAUCAUAGCUCUCAUAAGCUUUGCGAAUGAAAGGGUUACACCUAACACCAAAUCUAGGUUCGGAGUGAGAAAUGUAAGACUCCUUACAUGCCCCAACGUCAUCAUAAGAACAGUCACGAGGUCCUACAUCAUCUCCAAACUCACCAUAAGCACUAGGCACUUCAUUCAC
RNAcentral lists this long non-coding RNA (349 nucleotides) under Capsicum annuum. RNAcentral describes it as "long non-coding RNA (CANN_LNC010827)". The record is from RNAcentral. Lineage: Eukaryota; Viridiplantae; Streptophyta; Magnoliopsida; Solanales; Solanaceae.